CGGGGCUAAACCAUGCACCGAAGCUGCGGCAGCGACGCUUAUGCGUUGUUGGGUAGGGGAGCGUUCUGUAAGCCUGUGAAGGUGUGCUGUGAGGCAUGCUGGAGGUAUCAGAAGUGCGAAUGCUGACAUAAGUAACGAUAAAGCGGGUGAAAAGCCCGCUCGCCGGAAGACCAAGGGUUCCUGUCCAACGUUAAUCGGGGCAGGGUGAGUCGACCCCUAAGGCGAGGCCGAAAGGCGUAGUCGAUGGGAAACAGGUUAAUAUUCCUGUACUUGGUGUUACUGCGAAGGGGGGACGGAGAAGGCUAUGUUGGCCGGGCGACGGUUGUCCCGGUUUAAGCGUGUAGGCUGGUUUUCCAGGCAAAUCCGGAAAAUCAAGGCUGAGGCGUGAUGACGAGGCACUACGGUGCUGAAGCAACAAAUGCCCUGCUUCCAGGAAAAGCCUCUAAGCAUCAGGUAACAUCAAAUCGUACCCCAAACCGACACAGGUGGUCAGGUAGAGAAUACCAAGGCGCUUGAGAGAACUCGGGUGAAGGAACUAGGCAAAAUGGUGCCGUAACUUCGGGAGAAGGCACGCUGAUAUGUAGGUGAGGUCCCUCGCGGAUGGAGCUGAAAUCAGUCGAAGAUACCAGCUGGCUGCAACUGUUUAUUAAAAACACAGCACUGUGCAAACACGAAAGUGGACGUA
Molecule: ribosomal RNA, 685 nt
Filed under: Escherichia coli
Lineage: Bacteria; Pseudomonadati; Pseudomonadota; Gammaproteobacteria; Enterobacterales; Enterobacteriaceae
Description: bacterial LSU rRNA
Rfam family: Bacterial large subunit ribosomal RNA
Source: RNAcentral